RNAcentral lists this ribosomal RNA (406 nucleotides) under uncultured bacterium. RNAcentral's name for it is "partial 16S ribosomal RNA". It matches the Rfam family "Bacterial small subunit ribosomal RNA", at positions 30 to 526 of the family's 1533-position model. The record is from RNAcentral.
AUUGAACGCUGGCGGCAGGCCUAACACAUGCAAGUCGGGCGCGCGGCGGACGGGUGUGUAAUGUAUGGGGCUCUGCCUUAUGGAGGGGGAUCACUACUGGACACGGUCUCUUAUACCGUAUACUCUCAUAUGCACCCAUAUGGGAUUAGCUUGUAGGUGUGGUAACGGCGCACCUAGGCGACGAUCCCUAGCUGGUCUGAGAGGAUGAUCAGCCAAACUGGGACUGAGACACGGCCCAGACUCCUACGGGAGGCAGCAGGGGGGAAUAUUGCACAAUGGGCGCAAGCCUGAUGCAGCCAUGCCGCGUGUAUGAAGAAGGCCUUCGGGUUGUAAAGUACUUUCAGUCGGGAGGCGUUACCGGCAGAAGAAGCACCGGCUAACUCCGUGCCAGCAGCCGCGGUAAUAC